AUUUAGUGAUUUUUUUUGUUCCAUUGGUUUUUUUCCAGACUUUAAUAUCACUGAUUUCUGCUUCAUUUUCAUUUCUUUCCUUCUGCUAUUUCAGAUUUCAUUUGCUCUUUCUUUUCAAGUUUCCCAAAGUGAAUAUGCAUCUGCUACUGUGGUCUUCCAGGAUGGUUUUCCUAGGUCACACACUUGCCAUGAGGUGAACAGCAUUGCUACAUGGUACCAUCCUGAGGCAAACAGCAUUGUUACUCCAUAUCAUCCUGUGUCCAUGCUGCUUUACUUCACCACAGCAAUGGAAUACAACAGCCAUGCACUACACCAUAUUUUGACACAACAACAAUGAGUGGCUUACACAAGGGCCAUGCCCCUGGAGUCAGGCAACUGCAUCUUUUGUCUUCUAACCUUUGGCCUGCCCUCAUGAAACAAGUGGAGGCAGAACUUGUAUUAAUCAGGAUGCUGUAAAGGAACAGAACUGAUUGAAUGUGGUGUGUGUGUGUGUGUGUGUGUGUGUGUGUGUGUGUGUGUGUGUGUGUGUUUGUUCUUACUUUUCGUGAGGGUGGGAUUUAAAUGCAGUCUGUGUUCCAUGUAAUCCAACAAUUUAAAGACCAGAAAUCUGGUAGCUGUUCAGCAGUCCCAAUCUGGUGUUGGAGUGCCAGAAGAUUCCCAGAGAGCCACUGGGCUGCAAUCUACAUUGGAAUCCUAAAGAAGUAGGUUCUAGUAUUGGGGAAGGAAUGCCUUGGAAACAGGAUAGACGGAACUUGCCAGCAAGGGUGAGGGCAAGCAGGCUAAAACCAAAAGCUUCCUUCUUCCUUGUCCAUUUCUGUGGGCUUCCACCUUAAGGUAUGGCACAGAAUUGUCAUAAUUCUUCCCAUCACAAAUGACACAGUCAAUAAAAUUUGGGUUUUGGUGGACUUUGGGGAGCCCCCGUUGAGGGCCCUACCCUGCCUGGGG
RNAcentral lists this long non-coding RNA (945 nucleotides) under Cricetulus griseus (Chinese hamster). Its description in RNAcentral is "lncRNA (ENSCGRG00000025917.1)". Lineage: Eukaryota; Metazoa; Chordata; Mammalia; Rodentia; Cricetidae. The record is from RNAcentral.